UUGCCCUACGGGACGCAGCAGUGAGGAAUAUUGGUCAAUGGGCGGGAGCCUGAACCAGCCAAGUCGCGUGAGGGAAGACGGUCCUACGGAUUGUAAACCUCUUUUGCCGGGGAGCAACGGGGUCCUUGCGAGGGCCCGAUGAGAGUACCCGGAGAAAAAGCAUCGGCUAACUCCGUGCCAGCAGCCGCGGUAAUACGGAGGAUGCGAGCGUUAUCCGGAUUUAUUGGGUUUAAAGGGUGCGUAGGCGGAUUUUUAAGUCAGCGGUAAAAUGUCCGGGCUCAACCCGGGCCGGCCGUUGAAACUGG
This 305-nucleotide ribosomal RNA is filed under the name uncultured bacterium. RNAcentral's name for it is "bacterial SSU rRNA". It matches the Rfam family "Bacterial small subunit ribosomal RNA", at positions 334 to 636 of the family's 1533-position model. The record is from RNAcentral.